CCGACACAGGUAGUCAAGAUGAGAAUUCUAAGGUGAGCGAGCGAACUCUCGUUAAGGAACUCGGCAAAAUGACCCCGUAACUUCGGGAGAAGGGGUGCUCUUUGAGGUUCACGCUUCGAAGAGCCGCAGUGAAUAGGCCCAAGCGACUGUUUAUCAAAAACACAGGUCUCUGCUAAACCGUAAGGUGACGUAUAGGGGCUGACGCCUGCCCGGUGCUGGAAGGUUAAGAGGAGUGGUUAGCGCAAGCGAAGCUACGAAUCGAAGCCCCAGUAAACGGCGGCCGUAACUAUAACGGUCCUAAGGUAGCGAAAUUCCUUGUCGGGUAAGUUCCGACCCGCACGAAAGGCGUAACGAUUUGGGCACUGUCUCAACGAGAGACUCGGUGAAAUCAUAGUACCGGUGAAGAUGCCGGUUACCCGCGACAGGACGGAAAGACCCCGUGGAGCUUUACUGUAGCCUGAUAUUGAAAUUCGGUACAGUUUGUACAGGAUAGGUAGGAGCCUUAGAAGCGUGAGCGCUAGCUUACGUGGAGGCAUUGGUGGGAUACUACCCUAAUUGUAUUGGAUUUCUAACCCGCAGCACUUAUCGUGCUGGGAGACAGUGUCAGGCGGGCAGUUUGACUGGGGCGGUCGCCUCCUAAAGAGUAACGGAGGCGCUCAAAGGUUCCCUCAGAAUGGUUGGAAAUCAUUCAUAGAGUGUAAAGGCAUAAGGGAGCUUGACUGCGAGACCUACAAGUCGAGCAGGGU
This 746-nucleotide ribosomal RNA is filed under the name Staphylococcus pseudintermedius. RNAcentral's name for it is "partial 23S ribosomal RNA". It matches the Rfam family "Bacterial large subunit ribosomal RNA", at positions 1654 to 2399 of the family's 2925-position model. The record is from RNAcentral. Lineage: Bacteria; Bacillati; Bacillota; Bacilli; Caryophanales; Staphylococcaceae.